CCCAAGGCUCGCUUCGGCGGGUC
RNAcentral lists this small nuclear RNA (23 nucleotides) under Arabidopsis thaliana (thale cress). RNAcentral's name for it is "snRNA_08612". Lineage: Eukaryota; Viridiplantae; Streptophyta; Magnoliopsida; Brassicales; Brassicaceae. The record is from RNAcentral.